UACGUAGGGUGCAAGCGUUGUCCGGAAUUAUUGGGCGUAAAGAGCUCGUAGGCGGUUUGUCACGUCGGAUGUGAAAUCCCUCGGCUUAACCGAGGAACUGCCUGCCAGACUGUGAGGCUUGAGACCGGGAGAGGUGAGUGGAAUUCCCAGUGUAGCGGUGAAAUGCGUAGAUAUUGGGAGGAACACCAGUGGCGAAGGCGGCUCACUGGACCGGAACUGACGCUGAGGCGCGAAAGCGUGGGGAGCAAACAGG
Molecule: ribosomal RNA, 253 nt
Filed under: uncultured bacterium
Lineage: Bacteria
Description: partial 16S ribosomal RNA
Rfam family: Bacterial small subunit ribosomal RNA
Source: RNAcentral